GACGGGGGGGGCAAGCGUUAUUCAUCUUUAUUAGGCGUAAAGGGUGCGUAGAUGGGUUGAACAGUCGCGUUAAAAAAAACAAAAAAAAUUUUGUUAUUAAUUGCGCUUGUAAAUCUCGAGUAAAAAAGGCGUUAAUAGAAUUUUAUGUGUAAUGAUUAAAUGUGACUAGAUGUAAAGGAAUUCCAGAAGCGAAAGCGAUUUUCGAUUUUUUACUGACGUUGAGGCACGAAAGCAUUGGGAUCAAACGGG
Molecule: ribosomal RNA, 249 nt
Filed under: uncultured bacterium
Lineage: Bacteria
Description: partial 16S ribosomal RNA
Rfam family: Bacterial small subunit ribosomal RNA
Source: RNAcentral